GACGAACGCUGGCGGCGUGCCUAAUACAUGCAAGUAGAACGCUGAAGAGAGGAGCUUGCUCUUCUUGGAUGAGUUGCGAACGGGUGAGUAACGCGUAGGUAACCUGCCUGGUAGCGGGGGAUAACUAUUGGAAACGAUAGCUAAUACCGCAUGAUAUUAAUUAUUGCAUGAUAAUUGAUUGAAAGAUGCAAUUGCAUCACUACCAGAUGGACCUGCGUUGUAUUAGCUAGUUGGUGAGGUAACGGCUCACCAAGGCGACGAUACAUAGCCGACCUGAGAGGGUGAUCGGCCACACUGGGACUGAGACACGGCCCAGACUCCUACGGGAGGCAGCAGUAGGGAAUCUUCGGCAAUGGGGGGAACCCUGACCGAGCAACGCCGCGUGAGUGAAGAAGGUUUUCGGAUCGUAAAGCUCUGUUGUAAGAGAAGAACGGGUGUGAGAGUGGAAAGUUCACACUGUGACGGUAUCUUACCAGAAAGGGACGGCUAACUACGUGCCAGCAGCCGCGGUAAUACGUAGGUCCCGAGCGUUGUCCGGAUUUAUUGGGCGUAAAGCGAGCGCAGGCGGUUAGAUAAGUCUGAAGUUAAAGGCUGUGGCUUAACCAUAGUAUGCUUUGGAAACUGUUUAACUUGAGUGCAGAAGGGGAGAGUGGAAUUCCAUGUGUAGCAGUGAAAUGCGUAGAUAUAUGGAGGAACACCGGUGGCGAAAGCGGCUCUCUGGUCUGUAACUGACGCUGAGGCUCGAAAGCGUGGGGAGCAAACAGG
This 765-nucleotide ribosomal RNA is filed under the name uncultured Streptococcus sp. RNAcentral's name for it is "bacterial SSU rRNA". It matches the Rfam family "Bacterial small subunit ribosomal RNA", at positions 28 to 776 of the family's 1533-position model. The record is from RNAcentral. Lineage: Bacteria; Bacillati; Bacillota; Bacilli; Lactobacillales; Streptococcaceae.